RNAcentral lists this ribosomal RNA (396 nucleotides) under uncultured Acidobacteriaceae bacterium. RNAcentral's name for it is "bacterial SSU rRNA". It matches the Rfam family "Bacterial small subunit ribosomal RNA", at positions 988 to 1382 of the family's 1533-position model. Lineage: Bacteria; Pseudomonadati; Acidobacteriota; Terriglobia; Terriglobales; Acidobacteriaceae. The record is from RNAcentral.
UCCACGACGACGGCAGAGAUUGUCGUUUUCCCUUCGGGGACGUGGAGACAGGUGCUGCAUGGCUGUCGUCAGCUCGUGUUGCGAAAUGUUCGGUUUAAGUCCGGCAACGAGCGCAACCCCUAUCCUUAGUUACCAGCAUUAAGUUGGGGACUCUAGGGAGACCGCCGGUGUUUAAACCGGAGGAAGGCGGGGAUGACGUCAAGUCCUCAUGGCCCUUACGGCCAGGGCUACACACGUACUACAAUGGUAGAGACAAACCGUUGCGAAGCCGAGAGGUGGAGCUAAUCGGUAAAACACUGCCUCAGUUCGGAUUGAGGUCUGCAACUCGACCUCAUGAAGUUGGAAUCGCUAGUAAUCGCGGAUCAGCAUGCCGCGGUGAAUACGUUCCCGGGCCUU